RNAcentral lists this unclassified non-coding RNA (358 nucleotides) under Hevea brasiliensis (rubber tree). Lineage: Eukaryota; Viridiplantae; Streptophyta; Magnoliopsida; Malpighiales; Euphorbiaceae. The record is from RNAcentral.
AAAUAACUUGGCACACUAUCCCCCAAAUGACCAUCAAAAAUGGCAAAUAUUCCAAGCUCGUGAUUCUGAUCAUAUCUGUACUCCGCAACAAGAUAGUCUUCCAUAUCAUGACCCGAUUUCCCUUCCACCAAGUGGAACCCAUGUCUCACUCGGUUACUUGAUGACUUGCUCCGUCCUUUGCCGGUCUCCGCUGAUGAUGAACUAAGACAAGAGGCAUUCUUUAUGAUAUUGAGCAGCUCCGACCGCUUCUUCGAGCCGGUGGCGACGGAGGAGGAACAACAGAUUGGGGAGAAUUGCUGCUUCUCCAUCUUCCACCACCAUCAAACACUCAGUCUCUCUCUCGAUCUCGAGCGAUCGA